Molecule: ribosomal RNA, 3084 nt
Filed under: Triticum aestivum (bread wheat)
Lineage: Eukaryota; Viridiplantae; Streptophyta; Magnoliopsida; Poales; Poaceae
Description: partial small subunit ribosomal RNA
Source: RNAcentral
AUGGAGCUCUCCCUCGUCUCCGCGAGGCCCUUGCCCCGCCCCGCCGCCUCCCCGCUCCUCUUCGCCCCGCUCAAACCAUUGCCCCUCCUCCGCUUCCCGCCACGGAAGCGCACCGCCUUCGCCCGCCUCCGCAGCCGGCGGUCUCGCCGUGUGGCGGCCUCGGGGGAGGGGGAGGGCGACGCCGCGGACCGGGACGAGGAGGUGUUCGGCAGCCGGAGUGGGCAGGUGUUCGGAGGGCGGAGGGAGCUCACCGGCGUGCAGCCGCUCGUGGAGGCGCUGCCGCCGGUGGCACGGACGGCGGCGGAGCUCGCGGUCUCCGCCGCGGCGUUGGCGGCGGGCUACGGCAUCGGGCUCCGCGCCGGCGGCGGCAACCGGGCCGCGGCGUUCGCGGGCGCGGCCGUGCUUGGUGGGGCCAGCGUCGCGGCUGCCGUCGCGGUGAACUCUGUAGUGCCGGAGGUCGCCGCUGUCGGAUUGCACAACUACGUCGCCGGCCAUGACGACCCCACCAAGCUGGAGGCCAGCGAGGUGGAGGCCAUCGCGAACAAAUAUGGAGUUAGUACACAAGAUGCAGCCUUCAAAACAGAGCUCUGUGACUUGUAUGGCAGCUUUCUUUACUCGGUACUUCCUCCAGGAGAUGAAGAUCUCAAAGGUGAUGAAGUUGAGGUCAUUGCAAAAUUUAAAAGAGGCCUUGGACUUGAUGAUGUAGAUGCUGCAAAUAUGCACAUGGAGAUUGGUAGACGCUUAUACAGAGAGAGGUUGGAAACAAGGGACCGUGAUGCUGACAUUGAACAGCGGCGGGCAUUUCAAAAGCUGAUAUAUGUGUCAAAUCUUGUCUUUGGAGACGCAUCAGCCUUCCUACUUCCAUGGAAACGUCUUUUCGGCAUCACUGAUUCUCAGAUCGACAUUGCUAUGCGGGACAAUGCCAAAAAUUUGUACGCGAUACAGCUCAAGUCUAUUGGUAGAGGUCUGGACAUAGGCACUCUCAUUGAAGCAAGGAGAGCCCAACUUGCGUGUAAACUUUCUGAUGAGAUUGCUGCUGACAUGUUCAGGGAACAUGCGAAGAAGUUGAUUCAAGAAAACAUUUCAUCAGCUUUAGACAUCUUGAAGUCGCGUAACAAAGCCACGAAUAGCCCAACACAGGUUAUUGAAGAAGUAAAGUGUGUCCUUGCAUUUAAUAGCCUGCUAACUGUACUGAGCAAGCACCCUCAAGGCGAUCGAUUUGCACGUGGGCUUGGACCUAUUUCAUUAGCGGGAGAGCUUGAUCAUGAUAGGAGGGCUGGUGAUCUAAAGACACUCUAUAGGGCCUAUGCAACAGAUGUACUUUCAGAUGGACCUGUUGAUAAUGAGAAGCUUACUCCUUUGAAUGAUCUGAGAAAUAUAUUUGGACUGGGGAAGCGUGAAGCAGAAGCAAUCAUCUCAGAUGUCAAAUCUCAAGCAUACAGAAAGAGACUUGCAAAAUCCUUUAACACUGAUUUGGCUGCAGCUCCUAGCAAAGCAUCGUUCCUCCAAAAUCUGUGCGAAGAGCUACAGUUUGAUCCCGAACUUGCUAGCAAGAUGCAUGAAGACAUUUACAGACAGAAGCUUCAGCAGUUUGUAGCUGACGGAGAGCUGAGCAAGGAUGAAACAGAAGCUUUGACGGCAUUCCAAGUGCGUCUCUGCAUUCCUCAAGAAACUGUUGAUGCUGCUCAUACUGGCAUCUGCGGUCAAUUGUUUGAAAAGGUUGUCAAGGAAGCAAUUUUGUCAGUUGAUGGAUACAACGCUGAUAGACGAGAGGCAGUUAGGAAAGCAGCACAGAGUCUAAACUUGAAAAAGGAGGCUGCUAUGACCAUCUUUAGUAAAGCAGUACGGAAAUUAUUCCUGAACUACAUUCAGAAAGCAAAAGCAGCUGGGAAUCGCAUUGAACAGGCAAAAGAGUUGAAGAAGUUAAUUUCCUUCAACACAGUUGUUGUAAGUGAGCUUCUGGCUGACAUUAAAGGGGAGCUAACAACUGCUGAACCUGCAACAUCAAGUGCGACCUCAGAAUCUGAAACGACUGAAUCUGAGGGAGAGGAUGAGGACUAUGAAUGGGAAUCACUAGAAACAUUGAAGAAGACAAGGCCUGAUAAAGAGCUAAAAGAAAAGCUGGGCAAGUCAAGUCAGAAAGAGAUAACCCUCAAGGAUGAUCUUCCAUUGAGAGAUAGAGCUGAGCUGUAUCAAACAUAUUUGAUGUUCUGUAUCACUGGUGAGACUACUAAUGUUUCAUUCGGGACAGCAAUCUCCUCGAAGAAAGACGAUUCAGAGUAUUUAAUGCUAAAGCAAUUGGGACGCAUACUUGGUUUAACCGCCAAAGAAGCUCAAGAUGUCCACAUUAAGCUGGCAGAAAAAGCAUUUGUGCAACAGGCUGAAGUGGUUCUAGCUGAUGGGAAGUUGACAGAAUCCAAGGCUGACCAGCUUGCAACGAUACAAACGCAGGUUGGUUUGCCAUCUGAGCAUGCACAGAAAAUCAUUAAGAGCAUCACAACGACAAAGUUGUCUAGUGCAAUUGAAGCAUCUAUAUCGCGAGGACAGAUUGGUAUACAGCAGGUCCGAGGAUUGAAAGACGCAAAUUUCGAGCUGGACAGCUUGAUUUCAGAACCGUUGCGAGAAACCAUUUACAAAAAGUGUGCUGAGGAGAUAUUCUCAUCAGGCACAGGUGAAUUUGAUGAAGAGGAAGUGUAUGUAAAGAUGCCAGCUGAUCUUAUCAUAAGUGCUGAGAAGGCCAGGUCGAUUGUUCAGGACAUUGCGAAGGUUAGGUUGGAGAACGCCCUUGUCCAGGCUGUUGCUUUGCUUCGGCAGAAGAAGAGAGAUGGUGUGAUUUCAUCACUGAACGACCUGCUCGCAUGUGAUGCUGCCGUGCCUGCUUCGAAGCCUUUGUCAUGGCCCACUCCACGAGAGCUUGACGACCUGUACUGUGUGUACAUGAAGAGCAUUCCGAAGCAGGAUAAGUUGUCAAGGUUGCAGUAUUUACUCGACAUCAGUGCCGAGAAGGCUGAGGACCUUCGGGAUGCGGCGACGGCAGGCACGUUGCCUCAAACAGGCCAAGAGGAAGAAGAGUUGGCGUUCUAG